UGGAUCCAGACUCUGUUCAUGGCUCAGGAUAAACGCUGGCGGCGCACAUAAGACAUGCAAGUCGAACGAACUUAAUUCAUUCUUUUAGAUUGAAAGCGGUUAGUGGCGGACUGGUGAGUAACGCGUGAGUAACCUGCCUAUUAGAGGGGAAUAACAGUGAGAAAUCAUUGCUAAUACCGCAUAUGCUCACAGUAUCGCAUGAUACAGUGAGGAAAGGAGCAAUCCACUAAUAGAUGGACUCGCGUCUGAUUAGCUAGUUGGUGAGGUAGAGGCUUACCAAGGCGACGAUCAGUAGCCGGACUGAGAGGUUGAACGGCCACAUUGGGACUGAGAUACGGCCCAGACUCCUACGGGAGGCAGCAGUCGGGAAUAUUGCGCAAUGGAGGAAACUCUGACGCAGUGACGCCGCGUAUAGGAAGAAGGUUUUCGGAUUGUAAACUAUUGUCGUUAGGGAAGAAAAAAGACAGUACCUAAGGAGGAAGCCCCGGCUAACUAUGUGCCAGCAGCCGCGGUAAUACAUAGGGGGCAAGCGUUAUCCGGAAUCAUUGGGUGUAAAGGGUGCGUAGACGGGUGUUUAAGUUGGUUGUGAAAUCCCUCGGCUCAACUGAGGAACUGCAACCGAAACUGGAUAUCUUGAGUGUCGGAGAGGAAAGUGGAAUUCCUAGUGUAGCGGUGAAAUGCGUAGAUAUUAGGAGGAACACCAGUGGCGAAGGCGACUUUCUGGACGAUAACUGACGUUGAGGCACGAAAGUGUGGGGAGCAAACAGGAUUAGAUACCCUGGUAGUCCACACUGUAAACGAUGGAUACUAGGUGUAGGGUGUUUAAGCACUCUGUGCCGCCGCAAACGCAUUAAGUAUCCCACCUGGGGAGUACGACCGCAAGGUUGCAACUCAAAUGAAUUGACGGA
RNAcentral lists this ribosomal RNA (908 nucleotides) under uncultured Bacillota bacterium. RNAcentral describes it as "bacterial SSU rRNA". It matches the Rfam family "Bacterial small subunit ribosomal RNA", at positions 1 to 917 of the family's 1533-position model. The record is from RNAcentral. Lineage: Bacteria; Bacillati; Bacillota.